RNAcentral lists this long non-coding RNA (519 nucleotides) under Rattus norvegicus (Norway rat). RNAcentral's name for it is "long non-coding RNA NONRATT032277". The record is from RNAcentral. Lineage: Eukaryota; Metazoa; Chordata; Mammalia; Rodentia; Muridae.
CGUCUCCUCAGGAACCUCAGAGAAAACAAUCUGAGGGAAGAAUAGAGCAUGUAGUGAAUUUUACCCACAGGCCCCCAGGAAAUGAGUUGGUUCUGUUCUGUACCAAGACCUCAACACCUCCGACCCGGGUCAGUUUUGCAGCCACUUCCUUGCCCUUCACCCCAACCAGGGCGAAACCACGGCGACUGUUUCCACAGCUGAAAUCCGGAACUCCUGCCGUGAAAACCUGAGGUAUCCGAGAAAACAGGAAACGUGCUGUCUCGAGAUUGGGCUAUGUCUGUGUGAACCUGCGUAUAAUGUGAUUUGGCUUUAUCACUUCCCAGAAGGAAGGAAAUGCGAAAGUGGAAAUCCCAGAAGACAUUUUCCCCAUGUUCACGACAGGAAAACGGCUCUUCUUAAGGAUGAGUUUAAGGCAUUUGGUACACGAAGCCUUCGAGUCAACAUUGAGAAGGGAGGGGUAGCCACAUUGGGCUAUACUUGGGGACUCUGGGGAGACUCUAAUUUGGCAGGAAACUGAAU